UUUUUUUUUUUUUUUACUGAGGUGAAGUUACCCAUGACACAAAAUGAACUGCUUUAAGGCAGACGGUUCCAUGGCAUCUAGUAGUCUAGGGUGUCGCGCCACACCACCCCAGCUGGUUGCAUUUCCAUCACUCCACAACAAGGCCCCUCACCUCUGAAGCAACCUUCCCCCGUGGUCUCCCCGCCUCUGCCCAGCCCCCCACCCCUGGCAACCACUACUCUACUUUCCGUUUCCGUGGACUUGCCUAUUCUGGAUUCCUCGUUCAUCCACUACAGACUUUUGUGUCUAGCUGUUCUGCUGAGAUGUUUUUGGGGUUUUUCUGCAUUGGUUGAACGCUUUUUCCCCAUUGGAGAGACCAUGGUUUACCAUCACCCGCUGGUGGGUGCCAUGGUUUGCUGUCACCGCUGGUGGGUGCUAUGGUUUACAGUCACGUGGUGGUGGGUGCCAUGGUUUACCGUCACCUGCUGGUGGGCACUAUGGUUUACCAUCACCCGCUGGUAGACACUUAAGUUGCCCACCUCCUGGACCUAUAGGUACAGCUACAAGCAUACAUGCCCAUGUAACUACAGGAGAAUGUGCUCCCAGUUUUGAGAAGGUUCAUAUCUAGGAGUGGAACUGCUCGGUCACACGUUGUAUCUGUGUUUCCAACCCUCCGAGGAGCCAUCUCUGCCUUCCAGAGUGGCUGCAUUACGUUCUGUUCCCUCCAGCAACGCACGAGCAGCGUGUGAACUGCUCUGUCUCCAUAUCCUCCCCAACACUUGUUACUACCUGUUUGUUUUUAUCCUGGUGGUAUAUAAAGUGGCUGUCAACAAACUCUUCACACACUUGACCUUCUGAAAUCCAUAAGUGAUACUCAGGGGGGUCGCUGGCAUGAUGCCUCUUGUCCAUAUGGAAAAGUCUGAGCAAGAAACGAAGUGCAAAAGGGCAGGGAGCCAGGACGUCAUGUCUAAAACCCCAGAGCAGGUGGGCACAAGACCUGGACCUGGCAGCCGGGGUUCACACAUCCUCCCCAGACUCCUUCUGGGAGCCCACCAGCAUGGGGCUAUCACUAUCGGCCACUGCUCCUGUGGCACCGGGCAGGUUCCCUCCCCCAGAUAAGAUCAGGUGUAAUGACCGCUGCCAGGGCAUGUCUUCCCAAGGCCCGGGCACCCGGCACCGCCCGGCAGCAUCAGUGCUUGAUCAACUCACGAUGGUUAUGUACUGCUGUCCUGCCCCCUGUUUUCUGUGUGUGUUCUAGCUUCUGAACCUACUGAAGUGUCCCGAAGACAUCUGUGUAGGGGGAUCGGGGCACCUCAAAGCACAGCACUGGUUAAAACGCAGAUGCAAAACCCACCAAACCCUGUUCUUGACUUGACUAUGGUUACCCGAGGCACUCUUGGGCCAGGACCUUUGCACGCACUGCUUCCUCAGCAUGGAAUGUUCUUCUCGUGGAGACAACCCAGCCUACGGGCACCAGCUCUGGGGCUCUCUGCCCUCCCUCCAGGCUAGAGGAGCUGUUCCCCCUUAGGGCUCCCCUCUCCUGGCCCCUCUUCCUCUGUCCUGUAACCACCUGCCUUCUUGUCUACAGGUGCGUGUCCCCCACCCACAUCCUUACCCACCGAUGAGGCUAUAGAUCCACAAGGGCAGGACCAGUCAGAUUCUCAUGUGUAUGUCCCGUCUCCUAUGGCGCUUUGACACAGAGCAUUCAUUCACUCGUUUAUUUAAUCACCCAACAAAUAGUCGUUGAGCACCUACUGUGUGCCAGGCCCGCCGACAAGCCCAGCUACCGCCUCACGGAGCGUGGCUGAGUCUUCACGGUAUGUGUGUUGUGUAGACAAAGAUGUGAAUGCUCAUAGUGGGGCCAAUUAUAUGAGCCAUGAGAUUGUGUGCAUGUGUGUAUGUGCAUGCAUGAGUGUGAUGUGUGUAUAGGUGUGUUUGCAUGUACGUGGGAGCGUUGAGAUGUGCUGAGUGUGUGUACAUGUGCAUGCAAGAGUGUGCAUGGUAUGUGUUUUCAUAUGUAUUGUGCAUGAGUGUGAGGUGUGCAUGGUGUGUGUGUCUGUAUGGGUGAGUGUGUGGAUGGACGUGUAUAUACGAGUGUGUGUGGUUAUAUGCAGAUAUACUUAUGAACGUGUGUGUAUGACGAGUAUGCCAUACAGUAUGUGUGUAUCAUGUGUGUGCUGUACACGUGUGGACACAUGUGGACAGGCAGACCCCCGGGGCCCCAACCUCCCAUCCCCAUCAAGUUUUCACCGCGGCGCCCAGCCAGCCGCAGGCAGAGAAGGGAAGCUACCUCUGCCCCGUGCUCUUUCAGCCACUCCCAGGGAAAAGGAAAUUGGGCACUUGCCCAAAGGCUCUGCUGAUUUUUAAGAGAAUGGGGGAUGGACAAUUGCCUGCAAAUGUCUCUUGCAGAUGGAAUUCAUCAACAGGUGAGAGAGACCAAAACAAAACACCCAGACCAACCCAGAUCGUCCUCGUCCGGGGAGGGCUGCCGCUCGGUCCUCCCGGUUCGCAUUCUGUGCAAGCUGUCUCCUCCUCCGGCUAAAAGCGGCUGGGGGCUGCGAAGGCUGAGGGCUCUCAACUUCCUAAUGUCGGGUCCAGAUUACCCUAAAGGAAGGUGGCUGGUCCCUGAGCUGAGAGGGUCUGGUUCUCUUUCAAAACCUACUGCAGCCACAUGGCCUCCAGAACCCCACAUCGCCCCAAGUCAGGGAGUAUGGUGCGGUAUGGGGAGAAACCGCAGCACAAAAUGACGUCCGCCCACCGGAGUCCUCACACGGCACAGCCCAUGAACCUGCUGGAAGGUGCCAAAAGCCCCCGCCUCCCACCCCGAAGUAAGGACUGCAAGCCUCAUCCUCUCCCUGUGGCUGACGGCACUUGGGAAGCAGGUGUUCACCUGGAGCGUGGAAACCCAAGGCUGGGGGAAGAGCCACGACCACACACACCCAAGACUGGCUUCUUUCUUUCCCUUUUGCAGGCCCACACCUGGGUGGUAGUGAUGGGGGGAGGCGGGGAAGCACAGGGUGCUGGGCAGCCAGCAGUGAGCCCACUUGGGCCCCAGCCCGGGAAGUGCACACACCUGCACGCCCAGCCUGUGCCAUCCUUCUGGGGCCUGGCCAGCAGCCGCUCGCGUUGGCUUCCACAGGGCACACAGCUGCCAUGCCAUCUGCAGCACAGCCGGCAGCCCUGGGCCCUGUGCCCUGGGCAAGUGGCCCCACCAGCCCCGCAUGGGCUGGAGGUAGAGAUACUGGGACCUGCCCAGCUGCCCUGAGCAGGUGGCCAGGGGUUCUGGGGAGCAGGUGUGGGCGGCACACAGGGAGGCAGGAGAGAUGGUGCCCCCUCUGCAGGGACAUGCUCGGGACGGGUUAACGCAGGCUGGGUUUGAGCAGCCUCCUUCCAGGGCCUGCUGCCCCCACAAACACUCUGGCCCUGCUCCCAAGCCCCUCAGGGUCCCACUCCCGUCCACACGAGGGCCUUGCCGGCAGCAUUUUCUAAUAAAGCGCAAAUCAGCAAUGGCCUUGCUGAGGAAUGAAAGAAAGACCAAAAAGAAAAAAAAAAAAAUCACUGUAAACAAAAUCCCUGUCACCAUGGAAACCAUUAAAAAUAGCUUGCCCACCCCACUCCCUUCUUCCCGGGUAAUGUACAGCUGAGUGCCUUCACACCACAUUAUUAUUACUCUUUAAUGAUGAAUGAUCUCUCCCUUUCCAUAGAAAGAUGGAUCAGCACACGAAACUUCCCAAACGGAGCCCCACGUUAGGACGCAUCUGAAGGUGGACUGCGUGGGGGCUGCGGGCUUUCAACACGGUUAACCCCGUCUGUUCCACUCAGUCUUGCCAUCCGUCCGUCCAUCUGCCUGUCUGCUCCGAGGUCAUGCGGAUAGGGGAAGCUGGCCUGGCUGUGCUGAGGGGAAGCAGAGCCCCACAGAGGUGGUCCCGUGGGGAGAACCAAACACACGGGUCCUCCUGCUGGGGCCAGAGGGCUCUGGUCUCGGCCCCCGUGGGCAACGAUGGGGUGGCAUCCGGCCACUUACCUGGUCAUCUCCUAAAUACCCAUGACUAUAGGAGGAACAGCCGGAUGACUGGCUGGCCUGGCAGUGGGGGGCUGGGAUGGAGCCAGGGCUGCAGGAGAGGCCAGCACUGUCCCACCCUCCAUCCCCGGGGGGCUGCCCGGCCACCGAUUCCCCGCCACUGCCAGCACGCACCAGCAGCCUCCAUGGCCCACCGCCUCUCCCGAGUGGAUGAACCCAUGCUGUGACCAUCUCUGCUGGGCUGCAAUGUCACCAGCAGCGAUCUGAGUCUGGGGCACUCAAGUGACCUCUGAGACCACUCAGAAGCUCAGGCUGCAUCUGUGAGGACCUCCAAGCCUUGAUCCCUCGGUCCUGAAAAGCAGGACAGAACCUUUGUAUGCUUGAAAGCCCAGGCGGUUCCGAACGGGCAAAGCCCUGACUCGCAGAACUCCACCCACGGAGGGGCAUGGGCGGCAGAGCAAGGGGUCAUAGGGCAGUGUGCAUGUGCUGGGGGGAGGUGGGGGCCAGGCUGCGGACCCUGAGAGGGGCUCCCCACUCCCUGGAGCCAGCCCCUCCCACCUCCCAAGUGGAGACCCAGACACAGGAAAGUAGGAUGUAGUUGGUGGGUUGGGUGGGGGGAGGCCAGGGGCCGGGGCAGGGGGCACAGGGAGUUAGUGUGUGACGAGGGCAGAUUCAGUUUUGGGAAGUGAAGAAAGUUCUGGAGGUGGAUGGUGGUGAUGGUUGCACAACAACAUGAAUGGAUGUAAUGCCACUGAGCUGCACGCUUGAAUGUGGUUAAAAUGGUAAUUUAUCUGUUAUGUGUAUUUGGCCACAUUGUUUUUUAAAAGCAGAAUAGUCUCUGGGCUGCCCCAUAUGCUGCAUGCCGCGGGGUGUCCCUCCCUACGUGCGCCUGCUCUCCUCAACACACACACUCAUGUCUUCCACACUAAAAGUCAGCCAAGUGCUUUCAACAACAAAAGAAAGGUACCUGCCCCCAAUUUUUUCUCCAUCAGAUAAUCUCCUAAAGCAACUCCAAGGACAAGGAUCCAAGCUGAUCCUGCAAUAGGAGGCUUCCGGGAGGGAGCGCUACUCGGCGCUGCUCACCUGGUACAAUCAAGUGACACACCGUGUGUGCCAGCCAGGUGCCGCACACAGACACCCACGUACAGGGCGGUGGCCGGACGUGAGGCUCAGUCCCCCACCAGCAUCUCGGCUCUGGGCGGCUUCUCACAGCAAAGAUCCAGAGAGAGCCUCGGAGGGGACAGACCAGAACCAAGACAGAGAGACGGGAGGGGCCGUGCCAAGUGCCCGCAGUGUCCCCCGGGUCUGGUGCUCAGGGAGAGACGAGGGAGAGAAGUCCCCACGCACAAAGUGAGCACAGGGUCUGAGGAGCAUUACCCCGCAGCUUCCCUCUUCCUCACACCACCUCCCUGUGUCCGUGGGCUGCGCUGCCACGUGUGUGUACACGUCUGUGUGUUUCAGCCCUACUGCUGUCGGCACCGGGAUGAUGGAGGCCAAGCCUAGU
This 5504-nucleotide long non-coding RNA is filed under the name Canis lupus familiaris (dog). RNAcentral's name for it is "lncRNA (ENSCAFG00845014089.1)". Lineage: Eukaryota; Metazoa; Chordata; Mammalia; Carnivora; Canidae. The record is from RNAcentral.